Molecule: ribosomal RNA, 716 nt
Filed under: uncultured Microbacterium sp.
Lineage: Bacteria; Bacillati; Actinomycetota; Actinomycetes; Micrococcales; Microbacteriaceae
Description: bacterial SSU rRNA
Rfam family: Bacterial small subunit ribosomal RNA
Source: RNAcentral
GAGCACGUAGGUGGGUUUGUCGCGUCUGCUGUGAAAUCCCGAGGCUCAACCUCGGGCUUGCAGUGGGUACGGGCAGACUAGAGUGCGGUAGGGGAGAUGGGAAUUCCUGGUGUAGCGGUGGAAUGCGCAGAUAUCAGGAGGAACACCGAUGGCGAAGGCAGAUCUCUGGGCCGUAACUGACGCUGAGGAGCGAAAGGGUGGGGAGCAAACAGGCUUAGAUACCCUGGUAGUCCACCCCGUAAACGUUGGGAACUAGUUGUGGGGUCCUUUCCACGGAUUCCGUGACGCAGCUAACGCAUUAAGUUCCCCGCCUGGGGAGUACGGCCGCAAGGCUAAAACUCAAAGGAAUUGACGGGGACCCGCACAAGCGGCGGAGCAUGCGGAUUAAUUCGAUGCAACGCGAAGAACCUUACCAAGGCUUGACAUACACGAGAACGGGCCAGAAAUGGUCAACUCUUUGGACACUCGUGAACAGGUGGUGCAUGGUUGUCGUCAGCUCGUGUCGUGAGAUGUUGGGUUAAGUCCCGCAACGGGCGCAACCCUCGUUCUAUGUUGCCAGCACGUAAUGGUGGGAACUCAUGGGAUACUGCCGGGGUCAACUCGGAGGAAGGUGGGGAUGACGUCAAAUCAUCAUGCCCCUUAUGUCUUGGGCUUCACGCAUGCUACAAUGGCCGGUACAAUGGGCUGCAAUAUCGCUAUGAGCGAGAAGCGAAGUA